This 700-nucleotide ribosomal RNA is filed under the name uncultured bacterium. Its description in RNAcentral is "bacterial SSU rRNA". It matches the Rfam family "Bacterial small subunit ribosomal RNA", at positions 19 to 719 of the family's 1533-position model. The record is from RNAcentral.
CUGGCUCAGGAUGAACGCUGGCGGCGUGCUUAACACAUGCAAGUCGAGCGAAGCACUUUUUUAGAACUCUUCGGAGGGAAGAGAGGGUGACUUAGCGGCGGACGGGUGAGUAACGCGUGGGCAACCUGCCUUACACAGGGGGAUAACAAUUAGAAAUGAUUGCUAAUACCGCAUAAGACCCCGGUACCGCAUGGUACAGAGGUAAAAACUGAGGUGGUGUAAGAUGGGCCCGCGUCUGAUUAGGUAGUUGGUGGGGUAGAAGCCUACCAAGCCGACGAUCAGUAGCCGACCUGAGAGGGCGACCGGCCACAUUGGGACUGAGACACGGCCCAAACUCCUACGGGAGGCAGCAGUGGGGAAUAUUGCACAAUGGGGGAAACCCUGAUGCAGCGACGCCGCGUGAGUGAGGAAGUAUUUCGGUAUGUAAAGCUCUAUCAGCAGGGAAGAAAAUGACGGUACCUGACUAAGAAGCCCCGGCUAACUACGUGCCAGCAGCCGCGGUAAUACGUAGGGGGCAAGCGUUAUCCGGAUUUACUGGGUGUAAAGGGAGCGUAAACGGAUAAGCAAGUCUGAUGUGAAAAUCCGGGGCCCAACCCCGGAAUUGCAUUGGAAACUGCAUAUCUAGAGUGUCGGAGAGGCAAGUGGAAUUCCUGGUGUAGCGGUGAAAUGCGUANAUAUCAGGAGGAACACCAGUGGCGAA